Molecule: ribosomal RNA, 253 nt
Filed under: uncultured bacterium
Lineage: Bacteria
Description: partial 16S ribosomal RNA
Rfam family: Bacterial small subunit ribosomal RNA
Source: RNAcentral
UACGAAGGGGGCUAGCGUUGCUCGGAAUCACUGGGCGUAAAGCGCACGUAGGCGGCUUUUUAAGUCAGGGGUGAAAUCCUGGAGCUCAACUCCAGAACUGCCUUUGAUACUGAGAGGCUUGAGUCCGGAAGAGGUAAGUGGAACUGCGAGUGUAGAGGUGAAAUUCGUAGAUAUUCGCAAGAACACCAGUGGCGAAGGCGGCUCACUGGCCCGGUACUGACGCUGAGGUGCGAAAGCGUGGGGAGCAAACAGG